GAUGAACGCUGGCGGCGUGCCUAAUACAUGCAAGUCGAGCGAACAGACGAGGAGCUUGCUCCUCUGACGUUAGCGGCGGACGGGUGAGUAACACGUGGAUAACCUACCUAUAAGACUGGGAUAACUUCGGGAAACCGGAGCUAAUACCGGAUAAUAUAUUGAACCGCAUGGUUCAAUAGUGAAAGACGGUUUUGCUGUCACUUAUAGAUGGAUCCGCGCCGCAGUAGCUAGUUGGUAAGGUAACGGCUUACCAAGGCAACGAUGCGUAGCCGACCUGAGAGGGUGAUCGGCCACACUGGAACUGAGACACGGUCCAGACUCCUACGGGAGGCAGCAGUAGGGAAUCUUCCGCAAUGGGCGAAAGCUUGACGGAGCAACGCCGCGUGAGUGAUGAAGGUCUUCGGAUCGUAAAACUCUGUUAUUAGGGAAGAACAAAUGUGUAAGUAACUAUGCACGUCUUGACGGUACCUAAUCAGAAAGCCACGGCUAACUACGUG
This 497-nucleotide ribosomal RNA is filed under the name uncultured bacterium. RNAcentral describes it as "partial 16S ribosomal RNA". It matches the Rfam family "Bacterial small subunit ribosomal RNA", at positions 28 to 507 of the family's 1533-position model. The record is from RNAcentral.